RNAcentral lists this ribosomal RNA (253 nucleotides) under uncultured bacterium. Its description in RNAcentral is "partial 16S ribosomal RNA". It matches the Rfam family "Bacterial small subunit ribosomal RNA", at positions 524 to 776 of the family's 1533-position model. The record is from RNAcentral.
UACGUAGGGUGCAAGCGUUAAUCGGAAUUACUGGGCGUAAAGCGUACGCAGGCGGCUAUGUAAGACAGGUGUGAAAUCCCCGGGCCUAACCUGGGAACUGCAUUUGUGAGUGCAUAGCUAGAGUCCGUCAGAGGGGGGUGGAAUUCCACGUGUAGCAGUGAAAUGCGUAGAGAUGUGGAGGAACACCGAUGGCGAAGGCAGCCCCCUGGGAUGAGACUGACGCUCAUGUACGAAAGCGUGGGGAGCAAACAGG